AACGAACGCUGGCGGCAUGCCUAACACAUGCAAGUCGAACGAGACCUUCGGGUCUAGUGGCGCACGGGUGCGUAACGCGUGGGAACCUGCCCUUAGGUUCGGAAUAACUCCCCGAAAGGGGUGCUAAUACCGGAUAAUGUCUUCGGACCAAUGAUUUAUCGCCUUUGGAUGGGCCCGCGUUGGAUUAGCUAGUUGGUAGGGUAAAAGCCUACCAAGGCGACGAUCCAUAGCUGGUCUGAGAGGAUGAUCAGCCACACUGGGGCUGAGACACGGCCCAGACUCCUACGGGAGGCAGCAGUGGGGAAUAUUGGACAAUGGGCGAAAGCCUGAUCCAGCAAUGCCGCGUGAGUGAUGAAGGCCUUAGGGUUGUAAAGCUCUUUUACCCGGGAUGAUAAUGACGGUACCGAGAGAAUAAGCUCCGGCUAACUCCGUG
This 433-nucleotide ribosomal RNA is filed under the name uncultured bacterium. Its description in RNAcentral is "partial 16S ribosomal RNA". It matches the Rfam family "Bacterial small subunit ribosomal RNA", at positions 29 to 507 of the family's 1533-position model. The record is from RNAcentral.